AUUUUUCCUCGAAAUUAAUCAAAAAUUAUAACAAAAUUGAAUUAAUAAGAUCUGAAGUGGCGCCACUGUGCGAGGAGUAAUCGCCUUAAUUUUCUAUUAUGUUCUUUACAAACCUCUUUUCAUAGUAGGCAUUUUUUUCUUUUGACCGAACACUGUCAAAUUUUAUUCAUCACGAAAGUAACCCACGUCCAGUGUACAAUUAGACGUGCUGCUAUUCAAAUUAAAAAAUCCUCUUUGAUACUAAGAUUUUGAGAUCAUUAAUAGUAUGACACAUAUGUGCUUACUUACUUAUAUGUCAUAAAAUUAAUGAUCACGAAUUAUUUAAUAGUUUCCAGAAUUCUAUUCUAAAACAUUUUAAUUCCAUAUAAACAAAAAACAAUAUUUCAAAUUCGUUGUCGAAAUUUUAUUCGACAAUAAUCAUGGUUGACUUGAAGGAAGAAAAGGUCCCUCCACAAAUUGUAUGCUGUGUUCCACAGAAUACGGAAAUAGCACUCACUCGCCCCGUGCCAGACGAGUGGCGCCUGAAAACGACCAUUUGGAUGUUGUUGAUUGCUCUCCUGCUAUGGGUCAUCACCUAUAUGCUUACUGUCAUCGCUUCAAUGUAUUUCAACUACGGCCUUCGCUACGGCGCCCACUUCAGAACCAUAUUGUAUUAUUUCUACAACAACAACACCUCGCCGGCCACUGAUGAUAGCACUAAAUAUGUUUAUUUGUCAUGGUAAAUUCAAAAUCAUUCCUUUUAAUAAAACUUUUCAAUUUGA
Molecule: long non-coding RNA, 761 nt
Organism: Plodia interpunctella (Indianmeal moth)
Lineage: Eukaryota; Metazoa; Arthropoda; Insecta; Lepidoptera; Pyralidae
Exons: 2
Source: RefSeq, a predicted model, not a curated record